Molecule: RNA transcript, 14413 nt
Organism: Corapipo altera (White-ruffed manakin)
Lineage: Eukaryota; Metazoa; Chordata; Aves; Passeriformes; Pipridae
Gene: TAFA2
Gene name: family with sequence similarity 19 member A2, C-C motif chemokine like
Exons: 4
Source: RefSeq, a predicted model, not a curated record
GAGGAUAGUAGAGUUGAUCCCUUGAACUAAAAGUAAUCAUCAAAUGUAUUAUAAUCUAAUAUGUAUCUCGUUCUGAAACUUGCUCAAAGUCUGUACACCUUGCUAAGCCCUUCGUUUACAGGAUAGCAAACAAGUGCAUUUUUAUCAAUAACAUGGAAUACCAUGUUUCUACAUAAAAACUGCUGAGUAUGGUAAGCAUUUGAUAUGUCAUUACAGUAUGAUCUUUCGGUUCUUUUCAUUUUGUAUGACUGGGAUUUACCAAGAAGUUUUGACAGAGUUUCAGUGAGUUCUUUUCCUCCAUUUGACACUUCUUAUAUUGUUGGUUCAAAAUUACAUUAACAGCAAUACAUCUAACAUUCAUCAUAUACAAUGCCUGACAACAAAGUAUACAUGCUGUCAUCUCUGCUUUUUAGUGGCUAAAAGAAAUAGAAGAAAAACAAAUUCUUCAGAUAAGCUGUAAACACAAAAACUUCCUAAAUCUACAGCAUUGCGUCUCAGUAAGGUCAACACAGUUCUUCAUCAACAUACGAAAGAUUAAAAUGCUCUCAGAAGACACACAUGCAUGUGUUUAAGUAUAAACACCUUCACCUCUACAUGCCACCACACACACUCAUGUCUGGUUUUUCUUUUAAGUAUUUAGUACUUGUUUGCAAUGUCAGGCCAUAAUUUGCUAGCAUGGUAUUUACUGUGUGCAAGUGUUUGAGUGUCUGUGUCAUUUCAUUGAAAUCUUCCUUUCAUAAAUGCUAAAUUUCUGGUAUACAUUGGCUGUAGCAAUAUGUAGUGUGCACUGAUUGAAUUGUAUUCCUUCUGUUCCCCAGAGAGCUCCAUAUGUCUCAGUUUCUGUAUGUAUAAGUCUCUAAAACAUUUUGACAUUCUCUGCAGGAAGGACACUUUCUAAAUGUUUGUUAUACAAUCCCAUUCCUGAAUCCACUUUCAAAUAUGUUUCUUCUGAACAUAACCUUGCUGGAAUGCUUGACUUUGUACAGGCCAAUGCAAAACUGAUUAUAUACAUGUAAAAUGUGUCUGCAUGUAUAAUAUAACAAGAAGGAACUAGAUAGAAUUUAAUAAUAGUAAUAGAAAUAGAAAAAGAAUUGUAUGUGUUUUAAAAUUUGUCAAACACUAACCACUAUUAGUGUUACAGAAUACAUGCCAUUUUAUAUUUAUUGACAGUGUUUAACAAGAGGUAAGUAAACAUAUGGAUCUGGAUUACAUUUCUGCAGAAAAAAAAGAGGUCGCAAAAGGAGGAAAGAUGAAUUAGAAAUACCUUGAUGCCUUAAUUUUCUCAACAAUUUAUCAGAAUAUGGGUUUUUCUGCAUUUGUUAAGGUUGUGAAGUUUUGUCCAUUGUUAGGAAUCUACAGAAGACCAAAGCUGUUGUCCUCAAGGGCUUAUGCCUCUGUUGUAGAUUUGUAGGACUAGUUCUUUGAAGUAGUUGGAAUUUUCUUGUCCACCAUGGUGGGGGCAAGCCUCAGGAUUCAUUUCAUACCUCUUCAAAAGUGAUGCUUUGAAAAAGCCAGUCCUUUUUUUAUAUUUGCCAUCAUAAACAGUGAUUCGGUAUAAUGACUAUCAUAACCUGCUUACAGACCUAGCACCACUAAAAGGUCACCUUAAAUGCCCCACUAUUUGUUCUGCUUUCUGGUUUGUCCAGAUAUGGUAUGCUGUGCCCCUUCUUCCUUCAUUUUCCACAUAUCUGCAAGGCUGUUUUGAGACAAUAGCAAACUUGAAUUCAAAUUUCUGAUUUAAAAUUGGUCUAAGUCAUUGAAACCAGGUGACAGGUGAAUGAAGGUCUCUGUCUUUCCAGAUGCAGGGGGCUGUGAUUUUAGCAAACAUCUUUCUGAUGGGCAGAAAAAUAUACGUUGCUAUUGGAAAUGCGAGUAGUUCUUUAUGUUGAGUAGCUUAUUAUCAAAAGGCAAGUAACUUUCCCUAAUAUGUAGUGACUACAAUAUUUUUUUAGCUCCUCUUUCUGCUCCCUGAAAUCUAUAUAUAUAAAUAAAAGAUUCUAAAGUGCUCUGUGGUUUCAAAAUCUCCUUUUUUUUUCUUUUCUUUUUUCUUUUAGGAGAAUAAUAAAAAUAACUCUACAGUCAGUCAGCAUUAAGAAAUCAUGAAUAAUAAGUUUCUCACUGUAAAAUGAAAUAAACCAUAUGUGAUUAUAAAGAAACAAAGAGAACUGAGCUGCUUGGGUGAUUUAAGUGGAUUAUGGAAAAGCCUUGUGAAGACUUUCCUGAAAAGCCAAAAAAAAGUCUAUAUUCACCUCCAAGCAUUUUUUAAGUUAGCCUCCUUCAUGUGGGAAAAACCUAACCCAAUUGACCACUGAAAUACUAGCUACUCUUUUAUGGAAUACCAACUUCAAAAGCAGCACUUAUAUUUCUGCAUCUUCAGUUGUUAAUAGUUAAGCUUUAUGUUAGAGAUAAAACUAGUGGAGGAAGAAAGUAUUUUAUUUGUCCACCUCUCUUAGCAUAUUUAAUCAUAGUAUUGUAAAAAGUGAUGAUACCAACUUCCUAAUACUUAUGGUAUUAGGCAAAAAGGUCAAAUGAAUAAUGGGAGAAAACUAAGGGAUUUUUAAAAAUAUGGUCAGCUUAAGGUUUUGCAUUUUGUUCUGCUAUAGUGAUCUAAUAAGGUCUUACAUGAAUAAUGAAUUAGAAAUACUAGAAUUCAGAUGUUAAGAAAACUCAUUUGGAAAUUUUCUUCAGACUGAAAAAACAAUGGGAAAAGGCUGAUAUUAACAGUUAACCACAGAAAAGGACUGAAUACAGGGAGAAAGUGUGUAUGAAUAAGCUGAGUACUGAGUUAACUUAUGCUGGUUUAGAGUUGAUUACUUUGGUCUAUGUAUCCUGCAGGAAGGGACGGGAAAAAAGCCAAUGACAACUUAGCUAAACCAGAAAUUUUUUUGAGUUCAUAUUAAGAAAUGUGUGUUUGUGUUGCUGAGCAUUAUACCACAACAAAACAGAAUAUUCAGAAGCAUAUUAGAAGAGUUAUGAAAUAAUUAUGAGCAUAGCUGAGAUUUUACCAGGCCCAUUUAGGCAUUCUCCUCCAGACUGAGAAACUGUUGUUAGAGGAAGCAAUUGAAUUUUUUUUAUAUGGCUAGCCUCAAUUUUUGAUAAAUAAACACAAAAUUUUUGUCACAUUACCUUCUUUAAAUGAUUAGAAAAGUGUUUCAAAAAAGGGGAAAAUCCAUUUUUUUCUUUUACAUUUGAAAUACUCUUUCUUCUUCCAGUGUCUUUCUAACAUAAUUAUUUUAAUUCAAAAAGCUCUCCUGGUUGUGUUUCCUUUCUUUUCCUUCAAUAUAGGAAAAUGUCUACUUAAAACAAAGAAAUUUUCCCAUCAGUUGGGAAAAUAUAGCAGUCUUGUGUAUAAAACUGACAAUGACAUUUAAAAAAUGCUAUGAGUUCGUGUUAAACAAAGGAGUCCUUUACAAAGACUGGGUAUUUUGUAGUCAGGUAAGAGCUGAGGAGAAAUAAUUUAAUAUUUCUUUUAGUUAUGGGGUGUAUUCCACACCAGAGGUCUCUCUGUGGAUAGGGGCUUUCUAAGGGCUGAUCCAGAUGCCAGGCUUUACUUGUAUUUUUAAGAACAUUAUAUUGCCCAUUAUCUUUAUAAGAGAGGCAGACUUUGCAUAUCAGCACCAGAAGCUACAUGUAAACUGUAUGAAAGUGCAUGUUGCAAUGCCUCCUGCAGUCCCAGUUCCCCAGGCAUCGACCCUCGGACUAGCUUGGACAAUAUCAUGGCUCCUAGGCAGCCCAUAAACCUGUGUCUUUCCUGCAGAAACUAGACCACAAGAACAAGGUAAAGUGCUGUAUCCCAGGUCUCAUCUUGAGAUCCUGGAGAUGCAGCAUGACUAAAGAUGUGUAUUCUUGCUCCUGGCAGUGGGAAAGUGGCUCUGGGCUGAUAUUUUUGAAGAUGUAGAGAAAUACACAUUUGUAUUUUUCAUAAGAGAAAGUAUAGUGUGGAAUAGACUAUUUCAGUUGAAAGGAACCUACAGUGAUCAUCUAAUCCAACUACCUGACCAAUUCAGGGCUAACCAAAUUAAAGCAUGUCAAUAGGGGCAUUGUCCGAAUGCCUCUUCAACAACUGAUAAGCUUGGGGUAUUGACCACCUCUCUAGGAAGCCUGUUCCAAUGUUUGACCAUCCUUUCAGUAAGGAAAAGCUUCCUUAUAUUCAAUGUAAACCUUCCCUGGUGCAGCUUUGAACCACUGUGCAGUAAUGAAAUAGUACCUUGUCUUCAAGCUUUUAGCUUGAUUUGGUAGAACUGCCUGUGGAACGAGGCAUAGUUUUAACACUAAGCACUAAGUUCUGAUUAAAAUAUAUGGAGUGGAAUUUACUGGACUUUGCUUGGGUUAGGACUCUAGAGUGAGAUAACUAGCCCAAGGUCUUGACUGUCUUUUUAGUAUUGAGAAUUGUUCAAUUCCAGAAGCCAAUUAAUUUUGUUCUAAGAUAAUUCAGAUGAAUUGUCUUCUGGAGGUGCUUAUGUCUCUCAAGUAACCUAGAAGAAAGCUACGAUGACUAGAUUAGCCCCUGACAUUUAGAUACUUAAUGCUGAAUAGGAAGCAGCUGGCUUAAAGAAUUUACUCUCUUUGGUGUGGUCCUCAGUAGGAAGAUGAUCAUAAAAAUCCCUUCAUUCUUUGUCAAUUUGGGAAGCUUUGGAUUUUGACCACUAUCAAGUGCAAUAUAAUAUUUUCAAAGUUUCAAGAAUGUUCAUAUUCUGAUGAUACACAGCUGUGAGCUAAACUGGCGAAUCAUACUAUGAUGAGCAGCAUGUCCAGUAUAUACUAUUCAGUAAAAACUGGCAACAGUGCAUGUUCUUUUAGCACUGACUUGUUGGUAUAAUACAAACACUAAUACUAAUAUUAUAAAUUAACAACAAAGAAAAAGUCAGAUACAUAGCAGGUAUUGAUUAUUAACCUCUGAAAAUCUCUAGAAAGUGAAAGUGAGCAGUGUUUUCCUGUAGACAAGUGAAAGAAGUAUUUUCAGCUGGGUCACAAAGGGCAGCUUUUGGAAAUGAGCAGCUAGCUACUGGAAUAGCUGAGCACCCACACUUUUAAAAUGGGCUGAAGGAACUGCAAUUGUCACUCUGAAAACUAGCUGAUAUUUUUAACAUGUGGAGAAAAGCGCACAGAACAGAAAGAAAUCAAUAUCUAAUAUAUUACUAUGUAACUAUAUGGUAAACCAAUAUUAGCAAUAGAGUACUGCACUAAAAUAAAAUAAAUAUUACAAGGGCAGAGAGAAAUAAAAGAGAAAUAUUACAGAGCCAAAAAUAAAUCCAUAUUGAAUAUAUUUAUCCACAUGCCAAAUCCAAAUCUGCUUUCCAAAUCAAUACUGGAGAUAGAUGACUAGUGUGAAAUGAACAGAAAUAUUGCCAGCAUGGUGAGAAACCCAUACUGAGAGUGUUUAUCUACAUUCAAAAACAAUAUUGGAGAAAGCCUGAAGUCAGUUAUUUGUAAUAUUCUAAUUUAUUUAAUUUUACAUUAUGGCUUCCAGAGUUUAAAAGAAAGUAAAAAUUGAAUAUCAUCCUUGGAAGAAGAGAAAGUAUACCAUCCAAGCACACCAACUGGCUGCACAUGAAGCCAAAUUGUGUUCAGUAUGUUCAUCCCACUGCUCCCAAUCAGUGUAAUUUCAUUGCUAUCUAUAAAUACUGCUUACAUUUUUACCCUAUCUCUUCUUUCUCUCUUGGAGAUGCUGGGUUGUUUCUAAAUUAAUUACAGCUGGUGAUAGAAUUUUAUUUAUAUUUCAAUUUAUAAAAUAUGCUGUUCAUAACCCUUUCAGCAUAAGGAAUAAAAGGACCUCUGUUAGGUACCUUUACAUAGUAAUGCUUUUCAUUGGGCUUCUCAGAUUCCCAAUAUCAAAAGGCAGCAUUAAGUGGUGACUCAACUACCACCAGUGCUGUCAUAACUGAUGCUUGAGAAAGACAGUGUAAUACAAAAGAGCUAAAGUAUGUCCCUAGGUAUGAGAAGAAACUGGCAUUUUUCUUGUAACUGAGCCUGACCUAGUGUUGGCAAUGCAGCGAUGUUAGUUGUUGAUCUGUACUUCUCCAGAUGAGGAACACAUGCAUAGGCUCUUUAAGCAGAAGCAGAGGGGAAGAAAAUGGAACAAGUAUUAAUUUUUUUCUGCCAAAGAUGAAAAGAAAUAUCACCAUUGUAGUAGCUUCUUCCCUCAUAUCUGUUCUUCUUCCUCCUCCAGGCUUUUCAGAAAAAGCAGUAGUAAUGAUAUGUAAUUGGAGAAAAACAGAAAUUCAUCAUACAAAUGUCAUGUAUAGGUUGUUUCUGAUAGGCUGGAUGUAUGGUAGUUGUGGUCAGUUAGUGCUAAUAAGGCAGCAUAUGACGUUUUACAGUGUAAAACUGCUAGUAACUUAUAUCACAUGAAACAAUUUGCCUUUUGUUUUAACUGCUGUGAAAUGUGAAAUACUUACAGGAUGAAUCAAUGAUCUGCCAUGUGUUAGGUACAGGAAGUACUUUCCCUAAUAUUAUUUAAGGGGGUGUAUAUUUCAAUGAAGAAACCACCUCACUGUAAAACUGCUCUGUUUCACUGUCUCACUUCACAGCCUCUGUCUAUAGACUCCUCACCUCCUAUCUUAAUUUCAGAUGAAGACUUAUAGGAGUAAUGCACAUAUAUACAGUGACCAGCAAUACCUUGUGGUUCAUGAAAAUUAUGUGAUUACAAUAUGAGUGAGUACACAGACUGUAGCAAAAUAUUACCCAUGGAAAAGAGUGAUUGCACUUGUGACAGCCUCUUUAUGUAUCUCUUUCCAUGGUAUGGUAACUCUUUCCAUGCCUUUGGCUAAUCUGUCACUAGGAGAAGUUUGCAGCUGUUGCAGCAUGUUUCUCAUUGCUAACUCAGAGACCCACUGUAUCUAAUCUGUCAUUAAAAUAGCAGUAAAUUGUAUCUACACAUUUUCUAAGAAUACAUACAAGUUUUAAGGGGCAAAUGAGCUGGUAAUAGAAACAUGAGGAUAUUUUCUAGGAUCGAGCUAGAUUUUGUAUUAAUCAGUAAUUAUUGUUUUGAUCUAGCAUUACAGUUCUUUCAUUUUGAAGCUUCAUAUUUUUUUAGGGCAUGUAAAUACUAAUCUUUUGAUGAAAAUAGUUAGCAUGCCAGCCAACACAUGUUAUGAGGAAUCCUCAGUAUUCAGGGCAAUGCAAUUCACUGAUUUUCCUAAAAAUAACCUUCAUAUACCAAAUUUGCUUCUUUAAUAUUGGUAUGCCUAGUUUUAUCCUAUGAAAAGUUGCAAGUCUAUAUUUGACAGGAGUCUAGGCCUACAGCCUGAUGAUGUUCAUUUUUGCAGUCACAGAAAUCUAGACAAGUCAUGGUCCUUUCCCCAAAAGCAAAUAUACUCUAAAAUACCCACAAAAGACUAAUUAUGGUAUAAAGAAUUAUAGGAAUGAGUGUUGUGAUGUGAAAUGUUAUAAGCAAAGUCAGAGACUGAAAGGUCAGUAAAACUUGUUGGGCAGAUGAAGAUAAUCCAAACAUUCAACUCCCAAGACAUUUUCACUCAAAUUUUGUUUAGUUCUGUUCUGAUUUUGAGUCUUUUGGAUACUGAAAUUAAGAACAAAAGUGAGGAACAUCUAAAGCGAGAAUGGGUUAAAGGCAAUAUUCAUUGAUACAGCUCUUUUGGAAAGAGGGAGACUGAUGAUACAUUGCCUUGCUAAUGUCCCUGUGAGGGGGGAGUCUUGCCUCUGGCUAUGCAGAAGGGGUCAUCUAAAUUUUUUGUGAUAGACAUACUGUACAAAUAAUGAGAAAUGAAAUCUUCUGCAAUCCCUUCAUCACACUUGCAGUGUGAUGCUCUAAUUUAUAUAUUUUUAUUGUGGAAUAGUUUGUCCUAAGGUAAGACUGUAUCUAGGAUCCACUGUAAAACAUCCUUUUAUCAUCUACAGAACCUGAACAUUGAUAGUAUUACUCUGAAAUAACGGGAAAUUAUUUCUACAAUAUUUAAAGAAAAAUGCAAAUAGAUUUCAGUUGCAUGUCAUUAAUUAAUAAUUAGUGAUUUUUGCAAAUAUUACUUCCAUGUGCGAACCCUACAAUUCACCUGUCUAGCCGAGAGGUUUUCUGCCUUUGUCCCAAAAGAUUCAACUUGUGAUUUAUUUUUCUUAUUCUUUUUUCCCCCUUGUCCUUUGCUGGCGUAUUCUUCAUGUCUGAAGAAUAAUUUUGUACCUCUGAUGGAAAAUAAAAAUGAGUUCUUAAGGCUGUUUGUUAAUGACUGGUUUUCUGCACUUCUCCAUGAAGUUCUGCUUUUCCAGCGUCCUGACACCAAAAUCAAAGAUGUUUCCACUCAUUUGCAGCUUCAUUCUGCCAGUCUCUUUGACAUUCACAGCUGUGCAAGAGCUCUUUGAAUAUCUAGUAGUCCUUUUAAAUUUUCUUGGAAAAUUGUCAGUUUCUACUACAUCAGGAAUUACCAUACAGAAAGAUGAUAUUCAUAUGCCAGUAUUGUGUGAGUCAUACUGGCAUGCUCUAAAACUAAUGCUUCUUCCUUGUCUCACCCUCCUUUGUAGUCUGUAGGGGCUUCUUUGUAUCAUUUCUGCAAGUCACAAUGAUACAUUACACCUCAGAGGGAAAGGGGUGUUCUGAAACCUCACAUAAUCUGCUACCUAAAUAGCUGCAGGCAGAACUCUUGCCUUUUUCCCUGGGUAUUUGGCACAGGCUUCAGAAACUCUGCAUCACUGCUUAGUUGUAGAAGUGAUAGGAGGGAGUGCAAAAGCACUCCCAAUUGUUCAAAAUGUAAUACCAAUUGUUCAAAAUGUAAUACCUUCAAUUCUCCAAAAUAACAUAGUUUUCUUGAGUUAUUUCCUUAUUCAUUAGGACUGAUUAUAGAAAAUAUCAAAACUCCUGCCCUGUCACAGCUCUGCUUUUCUGCCUUCUAAUAGGGAAGGAAAUGGGUAAUAAACAAUAUGAAGUGGAGAGUCAGCCAUACAGAUAAUUCCGAGUAUACACAGUGGGAGGAGUGAACAACUCUCAAACAAGUUGAAAUCAGAUUGUUUAGAUAUUAUUCCCUUGCAGAACAAAGUAAGCAUGGUUGUAAAUCUUACAUAUUUCUCAAUAAGAAUAAUGAAGGUAGUCCUAUCCUAUCUGAGAACCCUUCAGAAUGAAGGAAAAUUUAAGGCAGGAAUAAGUGGAAGAUUUAUGUCUACAACUAAAUUAAUAAAGAAGAUGACCAAGAUAGAAUUAAUUUACAUAAGAAUUUCAAAAUUGGCAAUUUUUUUUCAUGGCUUGGAGUUUACUACUCCUUCCACCUCAGUGAACACCAGGUCAGAUUUCAGGAAAGCCACUAUUGCUGUGGAGAACAGACUCCAAAGGACUUUCUGUGUUCUAUAAAAUGGACUCUGAGUUUUCUUCUACUGCAUUAUUAGUAUACACCAAUGAUUCCUUCUCAGAUCUUACAGUUCUGACUCUCAUUCAUUCCCUUCCAUAUCUGUAGUGAUAAAUGCCAUGCACCUCUGAAGUGCAGAUUCUGGAUAAAGCUACAAAAUAUCCAGUUUAUCAUAGCUUAUUCUUUUGAUGCAACCUGUAGGAUUGAAUUGGAGAGACUGAAGAGAAGUGUGUCUCCAGUUUAUGAAGAAUGAUAUGAUCUCAAGGAAAAAGUGGGUUGUGUCUAGCCAACAUGCAUCUACAAACACAGUAGUAAUAGAAGAUCUGAGCAUUUUAGUGGCAUUGUGUAUUUUAAGAGGUCCAAAACAGUUUGUCUCUUCAGAUUCAAGAACACCAGACGAUAUAUUACUGAUGCCAUCCAGAAGAACUUGUUUCUUCAUCCUGAAUUCCAUCUUUGUGGCUUAGGAACAUGUCCCUGCCAAAGGAUGACCAAAUGACUUUAUCUCUGCUCCUGCUGUCUCUAACUGAGGCAAAUACACUGCAAAGUCAGAUUAGUUCUUCUAGAAUCUGGAGAUCUCUCUAUCCUGCCUAUUUGUCAUCUUUUCAGAGUGACAUUGGAAAAUGCAAAUUUAUCAUCUUCAAGGCAUCAUUCCAGUUCCACUUGCUAAUAAUUAUUUUUCAUCAUCCUCGAAGUACAAAAAAAGGAAGAGGAGACUUUGUUCUAGAAUGCACCUUGGCAAAUUUGAAGCUUAUUACUUGGGAAGCUAAUUUCUUUUUGGAUGGUCAUUCAAGAAAUUGUCAGAGUCCUUUUUCUUUCUCUCAACCUUAAAGCACAUAAUUGAUACUGAACAUUCCUGAUAUUUGAAGGCAACGACCUCUUCAGAGCCUUUUGGUCUUUCCUUCAUUACUUGAGAUUUUAGAAUACCAGCAUCUAUCUGCAGUUAGCUACUUCAAUUCAUUAAUACUUAUCUUGUCUUGGGUCACAUGUUACUUAGAAGAUAAUGAGAAGAUGCAGGUAUGAAAAAACUGGACAGGUUCUUUAAGAAAGACAAGCUAAAUUGAAAAGCACAUCAGAUUCUUACCUAAAUUUCUAGCAUUCAUUUUUUCCUUUGACAGGAUACUUCUUUUCUGUGUACUGUGGAGUUCAAAAUGAUCCCCAGUACAGAGGAGUUGUAAGACCCUGUAACUUUCACCUGGACAUCUCCAUAAUGCUCAAGCAAGAAAACAUUUACUUAUUAAAGUGAUAGUAGUGGUUGUUCUUUUCAUCUUUGACCAAGAUGACUACAACUUUUAUUUGAGAAGCAACCAUAAUCUUGACUACUUCCUAGUGAAGCACACUUUGUGUGUUAUUUUCCUGGACAAUGAGAAAUCCUUCUCAUUGUUUAUCUAUUACAGUCUCUAAGGGAAAAGGCCUUGGGUCUUCCUUUUUCACAGUUCUAAUAAGAAUUGAGAAAAGAUGACAGAGAUUUUUCUGAAAUCCUCCAAAUCUGCUACCUUUCUUCUCUUUCUUAUCUGUAUUGGAGUGAUGGCAUGAUGGGUACUCAUACUGGAGAAAGUUAAAAUUAGAUUUCCUUAAAAUAAUUUUAUAUUCUCUGAAUGGGUACCCACUACUCUGUCAGCACCCAUUACUUUGGCUAAAAUUUCUCCAAGCACAGAAAAGUCUUUUCUUCAUGUGGAGAUCCUAAAUGAAUGAAAAGAGAAAGGAAAACGAUCAAAGGUUUCAAGUUGAUGACUGAUUCAUUGUUUUGAAAAAUUUUUUUUCUGCCUGGAUAUUGCUCUGCUGUUUUCUAACUUGUUUUUUAGUUGUCUUAUAUUCCCUCAGCUGUGGCAGUAUUCGUGGAGCCAAGUGUGAGUGUACUACCUCAAAAUACCAGCAGUGGAAGCUGGUAAGCAAGUGGGGAAAAAUCACCAGAGGAAUCUCUGAAGCUUGGGACAAAGGCAAAAAACACAUCAGUACUGCACUAACAGAGCAGCAGGUACCCUUAUAGAGAAGGUAACAUUACAGGUAAGGAAAUAAUUUACAUUUCUAUUUUAAUCUUAUCCACAUACCUUAUUACUCUCCACUCAAAAUCCCAGGAAAAAAUAUCCACAAAAAAUUUGAAGAAGUAUAAGAUCUCAGACAUGAUUAAUUUAGACUGCCUGAUUUUUUUAGUGGGGAUAAUGUGAAGUUCAAUCUUACCCAAUUUAUGGAAAAAUGUAUUAAAAUAUGAAAAUCCUUUAUACCUGUAAGGUAAUUUAAAACCUCAGUCUAGUUUUAAAACAAGGCUGGUUUUGUUUUUCUUUUUAUUUUGUUUUGCUUUUUCAUAUUUAGGAUAUAAACACAACUUGUUAUAAGUUUUCCUUUCCAAACCAAAACAAGUGUAGGCUUAUUUUUAGGUAAGUGAAGUCAGAUAAAGCCAAACCCAGACAGACUCUGUUCCCAUCCCUCCAUCUACUUUUACUUUCUUACAGUCAAAAGUGUAGCAUGACUCUUUAUUAUGCUUCAGUUUCCUCAAACGGAGAAAGGAAGGAGGUUGUUUUAUCUCCCACGUGGGAUGAUUAGGUGGAAUAAGUGUUAUAGAAGAGAAGUAAAUUUCAUUUAUUUAAUUAAUUGUCUUGCAGUCUUUUAUGCCGCCAUGCUGCAGUCCCUCUAUGGAGUUGCGAUCACUGCAAAAACCUCAAGAGGAUAUAUCCUUGUGUGAAUUGCUACAGUUAUUAUCUGUUACAGAAAGUAAAAUAAGGCAAACGUGUAAAACUCCUCAAGGCCGAAUGGAGAAGUAGAGAAAGGAGGUUUCUGCUGUGCCUGAUGACAAUAUUUGUUUUUUCCACACAAAAAAUAUUCUGGCUCCACGUUGGAGCACUAGUUGUGAUGAAUCCUAGUCUUGGUCGGAUUCUAAGGAAGGGCCAGAACGUUCGUUGAGGAAUAAAGAGUCCCACCACUCCAGAAAAUGUGUUCCAGCCCUCAUUUAUUACUCACAGAGCAGCAGGUAACCUGAUAGCUAAAGACAAAUCAAGUCAGUAUCAAGGCUGAUAAAAUUAAAUACAACACGUGGGAAUUUCAUUCCUCCAGGCAAUCCUUGAAGUGAAAUUUUAUACUGCUGGGGUGUAUUCUUCAGAAUCAAUUGUUUCAAUGAGAAUCUGUCUUCUAAUCAGCAACAGCCUUGAGAUCAAAACUACUGGAAAGUCAUUUUGAACUUCUGUGUCACAAAGAUUUCAACUGAUUGAACUGUGUGCACUUGUAAAAUUGCACUUGCUGAGGAAUUUGCAGCUGUAAUCAUGUGUUGAUACUCUAAAGGUGCAGAAAAGCAGCAAACUUGGAUUCUCCAUUGCAGACCAGUGGCUUUUCAUCUUGAUGAAGUCAACCUCCAGAAUGUUUUGGAUCCUUCCCUCUAAAAUGAUCCCUGGUCCACUUUCAGAUUGCUGGUGGUACUGCACAUUGCUUUAAUUAAAUUUCUGUUGCAGAAAUGAUCCUCUGGCAUGGCGCAGUUUUAGACAUUUUUAUUUGUGUUCUAAUCUUGCAGCUCUGAAAGAUACAUAUUUCAACAUCUUGAAGUUGCUUUUGUUAUAGGAAUGGAAUUAUAUAUCCAUUGUUAAUAAUUAUUGUUGACAAGUAAUAGUUAUCUGAAUACACCAGUCACAUUAGAUUGUAUAGUCAGGUUGACAUGUUUCCCUAAGGCUAAUCAGCCACUGCAGCUUAACAGUUAAAAAAGUAGUGGUCAAAACUCAAUUACCACCUCCAUUAUAAAGCAUUUUAUACCUCUAAGAUAUACAUUUCCAUUUAGUUUGAAGGAGAUGGGUGUUCCCAAUAUGUACUUUACUUUCCUAACCUUUAAUUGAUUUAAGUUCAUGGUAAGCAGUCAGUGAUGGUAUUUUAUCUUUUUUUUGUCAGGGUAGGCAGGGAUGUAAAUGAGUUUUGCAAUUAUGAAAUUGGGUGGUAAUCAUUCAGAAUUUUUGUCUUUUUAUUAAAAAAAUAAAAUCUCUUGCUUGAACCUAAGUACUGAUGGAUGCUUAUGUAGAUGUCUGCUCAGUCUGUUUGCUGUAAAGGAAAAAAGUCCUAGUGCCCACCCAGAUUUACACUUCAUGGGUAUUUUGCUUGCUUACAGUCAUCCAAUUCAGAUCUGAUCCUUUCCAAAAAUUUUUUUUUUUUUUUUGGUAGCAAUUUUUUUUAACUUUGUGAUGUGCUGUUACAUGAAAAAAAUCCUCAAUAUUUAAAGGCCUUAAGCAUCUCUGAGCUUUUUUCUAAGUUAUUACAGAAUGUAUAAUUUUAUACUCCAUUUAAUAUAUAUUGUACCAUCUGUAAUGUUGAUACAACAGAAAUUUGGUAGUUCCUUUUAGAAACACUGCAUAAAGAAGCUGACCAGAGAGGGUAAGGGAAUUCUGACUUUAUGCUUUGGUGAACUGACAUGAAAGCCACAUACACAAUGGUAGUAAAAAGUACGUAGGUGUAAGGUUAUGUGUGGUUACCAGACUCACAAAAAAAAACAACCAAAAAAACCCCACAAAACAAACAAACAAACAAAAAACCCCAAAAGACAAAAAAACCAAAACAAGACAGAAGAGGGAAAAUAUUUUAUCAUUACAAGCCAUUGACAUGGCUAGUUUAGUUAUAUAUUAGGUUCCAUGAUAGAUGAACACCCUGGAGUUCUCUGCCUGUCACAGUAGCCCCUGCUGUUCCAAAACCAUUUCAUUACCUCUGCUGUAUUAUUGCACAGGAGAGCUUAAAUAAAAUAAAUGGCUGUUGGGAAUAAAAUUGAGAAGUAUAUUCUAUCAUUCUGCUGAGAAGUAAUAAAAAAUUGUUGGCAGGAAAAGAUCUUAUUUUCUGAUUAAAAUUUAAUUAGAAUAAACUGUAGCAGCAACUAGGUAUCUCAGUAUUUUAGGAUGGAUUAGUAUUGUAUGGAUUUGUGCUAACAAGUUCAGGACAGAAGGUAGCAUCUUAAAGAGAUCAUCUGGGACAGUGCAAAAUAUAAAUGUGCUGUUUUGUAGACUCUGAAUAUGGCCUCUCUUUGGCCAAAAAUCUAUAUCAUGCUUCUAACUAUAUGUUUUCUUUGUUUCCUUGUUCUUAAACCAAUACUGAAAGUACUGUAUUAUAUAGAAGUGUAACACAUGCAUAUCAAUAAAUAAAAUAUAUGGAUUUUCAAAUAUAUUGAA